AAUCAGCAUAUAUCCAUUUUAACUCUGGAUCUAUCAAAAGUCGAGAGGCAUCAAAUCCCUUGAGAUGCAAACCUUACCGCAAGUUUUGCACACUAAAAAAGAUUUGCACCUCAGGAGAUUUAAUCCCUCUUGGUGAUUGAUAGAUCCAUAGGUAAGUUGGAUCUAUUCUGGUU
This 173-nucleotide microRNA precursor is filed under the name Picea abies (Norway spruce). RNAcentral describes it as "miR11409f stem-loop (pab-MIR11409f)". Lineage: Eukaryota; Viridiplantae; Streptophyta; Pinopsida; Pinales; Pinaceae. The record is from miRBase by way of RNAcentral.